CAGAUCUGCAAGGCGAAACUGGCCGUUAGAUGGUCCCGUGGCGUCGCGACGCUGCGGGGGUGUUUUCCAAAGUGGUAGGGAGGGAGGAUCGCUCUCUCUAACGCCGCCCACUACUCUCCCUCCUUUCACGUCUACAGCCUCGUGGCAUCGCUAAUGUAACGGAACGCAACGCAUAAGAGAUCAGCAACCAUACAUCUAUACUCUCUCUCUCUCUCUCUCUCGUUCUCUACAUUCUGCGCAAGAGCAAAGCAAGUGUCAAGGCUCUGGGUAAAAUGGGGACGUGACGCCAGACUGGUAGACGCUUCAGAGUGCCGCCCGCUCUGAAUGAGAUGCGAAAUGGUCAGCACAGUCGAAGAAGAGCAAGUCUUCGCGGGCUUUACACGCCAGCAACUAGAGAUGUUUGCUCCACGGAAUGGCGUUAUAUUUGAACUUGGAAUGACAGCGGGAAUUGGACGGGACUCUAGAGGCAUCAGUGUACGGCAACGACGAUAAAACCGGAAGAGCUGUGACUUCGGAAAAUUGGCCCAGCUAAGAGUACAUCGUUUUACGGUACUCCAGGGCCCCGCCCAUCUGUGUAUGGUCUGAAUUGUCCCGCAGCCAAGGCAACCCUGAUUAUUAGGGCCCCUCGGGCCCUAUUCGGGUGAGAAAGAAACGUCGAGAGAAACAAGCUUUGCACGCCCCGAUACGCCCUUCGGACUUGCCACCAUAGAAAGUGGCUCUACCACCAUGGAGCGGAGCAACUGUCGGACAAAUAGCGACGGGACAAAGAGUGCGAUUAUGUAACGAGCCAAAACUCAGUGAGAAGCAACGGGGCCCCUUAUGUCUUUCCCCGUGAAAACUGGCGCGGCUCGUCAGUCUAAUGGCGCAACGGUUUACAUGGUAUGUACUGUAGAGUCUAUGGUUGCAUAUUUUAGUGUGUCCUGGAACGUGAUAUUUAAUAUAGGGAUAUUGCAGAUACCCACCGAAUAAAAGGAUACAAUAAUUGGACCAAACUCUGUGGUGGCAGCACUGUUAGACCAAGAGAAAGUCCAUGGUUGGCUGUCUGGAAGCCGGAGAUGAGAGUGGGAACGUCAAAGGGCAUUGUUACUGUAGUUAACGAGAAGCCAUGGCAAUCAGUAUCGCUCCCCGUGGCCAACCCGACAAUUCCACCAAUUUAUUUCAAUCCGGACAACAUGGCCGACCGGGGGGCCAUUUUGCUCUCUCGAUUCAAUUCGAUUCAAUCGCCGGGCAGUCGGGCGGCCAAGUUCGUCCAGUCGAAGUUACUUGAGCUUCAAAAGACUAAUUGGCUUUUGGUGGACCACCGGAUCCGGGUCUCUAGUAUUAUUUAUGAUCCAAUGUUAUUUAUUCCAGCAAAUGAUCUUCGACCUCAAGGCGGCCUAAAUAUCUGAUCUGACAUAUAUGUAUAUGCGACAGUAUCCUUGGCUGCUUUCAUGGCCUGUUUCGAUAAUCAGUAAGGAUUGUUAUCGAAGGACAGAGUAGCCACUAAAUGUGCAAAGUUUACCAAUGCAGUUACGAACGGUCCGACGAAUCCAAUCACCCUGGUAAACUAUUAGCGCCGCGACGGCGCUCGGAUCGCUUCAACUCGAAGGAACUCGAAGGAGCUUCAAGGAACUUGAAAUGGCUUUGCAAAUUUACUCGUCGACUCCUCGUUGAGCCGUUAAUUACCUCCUCGCCAAGUUCCUCUACGCCACCAGCAUCGCCGACGCCGCAGCAGCCACUAGGCUACGUAGCCAUCAUCGAAUUUCGGAACGACGCCAGGCGUCGCGCCGGUUUCACCAGCUUUUGAAGAUCGACGUAAUCCCGGCGACGCCCUCGCUCAAUGCUAAUUAGAGAACCGGGACAACGAGGACGUUCAAAGAAAUUCGCGAGCUUGGCUAGGGGUGUUUUGAUGCCUAAGGGUGAGAACCAAGAAGUCUGAACUUCUCCAAGUCUUGCUGGCUGGUUGGCUGGCUUCUUUCGCGUGCAAGGGUAGCAUCAAUCACCAUCCCCUUUCUAUGAGUAAGUAUAGAAUUGCUCAUGAGUUCUUUGGCCCAUCGUUCUUCGCCCUUAACCACCUUCAGGCGAUAACAGGGUAACUGGAGGUCAUACCGGCUGAAAGCACUGUUGGAUUUUUACGUCUGUAGUAACAACCCUUAUUUGUUGAUAUCCAGGUGGAGAAUAAGGGGCAAGGAAGAGGCAAAGAAUAGCAGAGGGAAGAGUCGCUCAAGUGCACUUUCCUAGCCGGCGUAUUAGGGUGGCAACCCUUAUUGUUCCAUCCCUGACACUUGGUCCUUCGUGAUUUGGCGCGUGAACGGUUGACAUAUAAUUAGCAUUCGGGGUGAGUAAGGAAGCCUUGGCUGAGGAUGACAGGAAACACAAUACACCCCCUAUUCACUACGUCUACCCCACAUAACUCGGUCACGAGGCAGACCUCUCCUAGCCCCGGUAGUUCACUAGCAGGCUGACGCCAUGCACCCCGACGCCUAAGCCGAUUCCAUAUUAGCCACCCUCUUCAUCUUAAUCGGCUACCCCUAACACGAAAAUACAUACUAUGGCUAUAUUAAAUCAUAUUUUGACCAAACAGUAGAUUUAGUUUUUAACAAACCCCUAUGAGUGCAUAUACAGUCGACGCUCUGUCUUACCGUCAUCCACAGAUCUAUUUACCUUAAAACCACCCUCAAAGUGCAACCUUGAUUUUUCACGUUACAGGAGUCCAAUCAAAGAAUCGGAAGGGCGUAGAGCAAGUCAAAAAACCGCACGUAUGAGCAAACGGGCACAGCAUAAAAUCGGUGCACACGAGCAACCCCUAGUGAAUGGACCGUUUGCAAAAUGGCCACCAAACUCCUGAUUUCACUAUCUGGAUUCAGUAGUAAUAGCGGCGGCGACAACGGCAGUCGCUGUUCCUGGUUCUGAUGUUGUGCACGUUGGGGGGUUCGCAGCUGCGUCGUCAACGGGGGUCCCUUUUGACCUUCACCCAGGGGUACCUCGUUAUCACUGAUUUCCUUUUUCACUCCUUACUUUAAAUCCACCAGGAAGUCAUGCUGGGAGCCAUGCAUUUUUUCUAUUUCUUUUCUCAGCCGAUUUCUUCUGCGCGUGACUAAAUUACAAUCACUACUAUGCCCCAGAGAUUUUCGUGGGAAACAAAGUAAUAAAAUUUGAGAAUCAGUUUAAUCGAAACAGUUAAAACUUUCAGAUUAAAAUAUCCAAUUUCGUCUCACACUCGUCACUGUCAGUCGUCAAGGUAGCAGCGAUCAUUGAACGAUUCCAGCAUGUCCCCAGCACGCCACUGAAUAAUACUAAUGGCAAUAAUAGUAUUGUGGAAUAAAAGUCAGGAAAACAAUUGAGCCACCCGAUUGUCCCGAGGCGACCUAUUGAGUUAUGAGGGUUGGCCACGAGCACGCGCUCACGUUUGUUCUCAGCACGCACUGACGUCCAGGAAUUCUUCCACGGGAGCAAAAACCAAGAAGACCCUUGCUCUGUUCAGGACAGCUGAUCGGAAGUUGAAGAGCCAACUGGUCUCGAGCUGCUUUUCUUUUGUUCUCAACUGGCUCGUUACGGGGGCGAGAGAGCGUUACUUGCCGUUACUAACUAUACAUAUAUAUAUAUAAGGCCCACAAUCAGACAACAAAAUAUAGUGCUGCUCACGUAUGUAGGAAUGAGGUACGUGGGCCACCUAGGGACCGUAUAUAGUACGUACAUAUAUAGGGCAUGAGGGGGGCAGACACAGGGCCACACGGGGCCCAUUGCCCGCCCUCUUUAAUAGACAAUGAGCAUUACAAAAGGGGUUGGUUGGCUGAGGGAGUAACGUGAACGGGGGGGUUUUAGUCACAGGAGCGACUACUACAUGCAUUGCCGGCACUUCCGGCACUUCCGCUUUCAUUGAAAGAGAGAUCUCAAUUCACCCGAUUCUUCGGAGAAGAAUAAGAGGAGAAUUUGAUACCGGCAGCGGAAGUCUCGCGUGCCAUUUGCCUUGGCACCCGAUCCAGUCUCCUUAGGGCCUUGUUCCUUGGGGCCUCUCUACAUUUCGACCCCCCCGCAGAACCACGGCUACCAUCAUCGGCAACCAAAAUCAGACUAAGAUGAAUAAGGGUGUCUUGAGUGGCGCGUGCCCCCUGUCUCGUAUGUCUCGAGGCUUCUGAACUGACGUCACGUGGGCCUUUUGACUAGAUCCGUAUUUAUAGGUUAAACUAGACACGAUUUACUACCCUUACUUGUAGUCUUUCUUUUUCGUACCCCUCUUUGAUAUAUUUUUUUUUCUAGAUUCGUGAUGCCUCGAACAAUAAGCACGCGAACCAGCCAAGGUUAUUGGCACCCUUAUCAGAUAUCGGUUAUGUGCUUCAACUUAAGGUGCGUGCUGUCUACUGCGAUAGGGGUAGCAAUCAAUUGAUAAGAGCAUCGGAUACUUCAGGGACACGCACCGACGCCUUACUUCCGUUAAGGGACAUUUGAGAAACUUAAAUGCCAACCAUGAUCUCCGUUACAAGCUGCAGAAAAGGAAGCUGUAUUAAUUGAAACAUUGAUUAUGGCAAGGGUACUUUAUGUUCGAGAGGGGUGAGUGGACGGUAAGUAAAGAGGGAUUUAAAGACAUAAUGAGUCUGGUCUCGGUUAAGGGUAGGUCCGAACAAACCGAAUCAGCCAGUAGCUCAGGAAAUAAGUAUCUACGUGAUUGUAGGGGGAUGAAGUGUUGGAAGAAACUGGUCCAACGACUGCCAUCUGCCACCCCCAACCCCCAAGGGUCUUUCGGUCUCGAGGGGGCGCCAGCAGCUUCCCAGACAGCCAAGAACUCGCGAAUGGCUUGGACGGCUCAAUGCCGGCGUCGGGACGCCCUUUCAUGGCUCUUUCGAUCUCCGACCGCCUUCUGAACGACCUAGGAGAAACCCUCGGCGUCUUUAUUCUACCAACAAGCACGACGCCUUUCAUACAAAAUUAAAUAGGAUAUUACGCAUUAAAUGUCGCAAACUUCUCCGAGGUCCUGUUGCUGAUGUUGCUGACCUCCCCCUGAUCCUCCCAUCAUGGGAAACCCCUUGUUGCUUAAAAUCCCUGAAUUUCUCUCUUACCCUACUAAGACAAUCUUUAUCUCCUGGAUACAUAAUUUUUCUACAAAGCGUCGUAAGCUGUCGGCAACGAUCCUCGUUGCUGGUUGCUGGUCCUUCCUGGCAUGUAUUUCCCCAUAUCAAACUGCCACUCCCCCAAUUCGACUUGAACUCCGAGUGGAAACAGCUGUCCCGUUUGUGAAUUCCAUUUGAAUAAUUCAAUUCCCGCGGCGCGUGCCACCGGGAUACCUGAUCGUGAGUCUCCAGGUUUCUCUCUCAUUCUUCACCACACAUGUAGAUCACAUAUGCACUCGCGUCUCCGUGAUCCGUCUUAAGGAGUGUCGUCUGUCCGUUAUGCAUGGGCGAGUGAGUGUAAGUGAGAUCGUAGGUGAGACGAAUACGCGCACACGGACACGUGGCCGGAAGUCGAUAUAUGUUCAGAGCGUUUCCGCCCCAGCGGCUGAAUAGCGUCUCAUUUCGUUCUGUAUCUGAGAAUGAAUCCAUGGAAGGACGCUAGCCGUCGCGACGGGCCGCGAUAGCAUCCUGGCGGCAGAAAUGAAAUGGCUGUGCGAGGGAAAAUUGAAUUGUGGUUUUUUUUUGUUGUCCAAUUCAAAAAGGCGAGAAACGAAUCAAAAGUGACCACUCGACGAUUUAUUUGAUAAUCGACAGGGUGCCUUAUGCCCAUGGGGGAUGAAGUUGAAUUCGCUGCUGAAUUAAAGCAUGGGGGGGGGGGCUCAAGUAAGCCUGACCAAGGGAGGUGAGAAGUUUAUUUAAGAGGAGGAAAUCAUCGUUCGUCGAUUAAGGUGAACGAAGGAGGGUUGAAAAUGGAGAACUGAGCGAAAUGGGGGUGGUUCCAGUUAUUGCUUGUAUUGUAUUUCCUCCCUCGAAAAGCCGCCAACUUGGGGUUGGAUGGUUUUACUUCUCGAGAAACUUCUGGCAACGAUCUCACGGGGGUUGGCUUCGCCAUAUAAUUCUACCCUUAGAAACAUUCGAGUGAAGUCGCAAGGCAUUGAAAAUGUUCGUACCGAAAAGUACCGUUCGGCUUUCGUAACAUUUUUUUAUUCUUUCCCCAGACGCUGUCCGCUGUUGCAAAAAGUACUGCAGUUUUAUCAAUAAAGUGAGCAAUGCCGUACCUCGAGGAAAGGAUUGUCAGCCACAUUGAGAAACGAGGGUGCAAUGUACAGAGCAUCGUUGAAAAUUACAAGGGCGCAUUAGGUACCCAAUGCCCAAUGGGCAUAUAUUGCAAUGCGCCCACUCAUGCAUAUUUAAACCAGCAGAAUAGAACACCGGCCGGAAAUAAGCACCUGCCCGCCUCGGUUC
This is a long non-coding RNA of Cephus cinctus (wheat stem sawfly), 6332 nucleotides long. RefSeq lists it as uncharacterized. The record is from RefSeq and is a predicted model, not a curated record. NCBI's taxonomy places the organism in Eukaryota, Metazoa, Arthropoda, Insecta, Hymenoptera, Cephidae. The transcript has 3 exons.